ACGGCGAGUGAAGCGGCAACAGCUCAAAUUUGAAAUCUGGCCGUCAGGUCCGAGUUGUAAUUUGUAGAGGAUGUUUUGGGCACCGCAGCCGGAUAAAUUUCUUGGAACAGAAUGUCACAGAGGGUGAGAGUCCCGUCUUGACCGGCUGUAGGACCCGUGUAAAACUCCUUCGACGAGUCGACUUGUUUGGGAAUGCAGGUCAAAAUGGGUGGUAAAUUUCAUCUAAAGCUAAAUAUGGGCCAGAGACCGAUAGCGCACAAGUAGAGUGAUCGAAAGAUGAAAAGCACUUUGAAAAGAGAGUUAAACAGUAUGUGAAAUUGUUGAAAGGGAAGCGCAGGCAACCAGACUCGAGCGCGGGGUUCCCCCUUCCUUUUGGUUGGGCUACUUCCCCGUGACCGGGCCAUCAUCAGUUUUGGGGGCGGGUUAAAGGCCUUGGGAAUGUAUCUACCCCUCCGGGGGUAGACUUAUAGCCCUCGGUGUCAUGCCGCCUCCCGGGACUGAGGAACGCGCUUCGGCGAGGAUGAUGGCGUAAUGGUUGUCUGCGGCCCGUCUUGAAACACGGACCAAGGAGUCUAACAUCUAUGCGAGUGUUCGGGUGUCAAACCCUUGCGCGGAAUGAAAGUGAACGGAGGUAGGAAGGCCUGAGCCUGCACUAUCGACCGAUCCUGAUGUCUUCGGAUGGAUUUGAGUAAGAGCAUAGCUGUUGGGACCCGAAAGAUGGUGAACUAUGCGUGAAUAGGGUGAAGCCAGAGGAAACUCUGGUGGAGGCUCGCAGCGGUUCUGACGUGCAAAUCGAUCGUCAAAUUUGCGUAUAGGGGCGAAAGAC
This 826-nucleotide ribosomal RNA is filed under the name Bradymyces pullus. Its description in RNAcentral is "eukaryotic LSU rRNA". It matches the Rfam family "Eukaryotic large subunit ribosomal RNA", at positions 86 to 931 of the family's 3401-position model. The record is from RNAcentral. Lineage: Eukaryota; Fungi; Ascomycota; Eurotiomycetes; Chaetothyriales; Trichomeriaceae.